Molecule: long non-coding RNA, 149 nt
Organism: Thalassophryne amazonica
Lineage: Eukaryota; Metazoa; Chordata; Actinopteri; Batrachoidiformes; Batrachoididae
Exons: 3
Source: RefSeq, a predicted model, not a curated record
CAUAACUGCUGCUGCCUGAGGGGAGCAACUGUGCCCUGCACCAUGAUGUUUGUCUUCUUCAGACUAGUGGUCAGUCCGAACUCCUUGCAGGCGUGAGAGAGGCGAUUAACAAGCUGCUGCAGACCAUCUUCAGAGUGUGAUGUCAAGGC